Molecule: unclassified non-coding RNA, 330 nt
Filed under: soil metagenome
Description: partial contains 5.8S ribosomal RNA, internal transcribed spacer 2, and large subunit ribosomal RNA
Rfam family: 5.8S ribosomal RNA (bases 1-120)
Source: RNAcentral
GAUGAAGAACGCAGUGAAAUGCGAUAAGUAGUGUGAAUUGCAGAAUUCAGUGAAUCAUCGAAUCUUUGAACGCACAUUGCGCCCCUUGGUAUUCCAUGGGGCAUGCCUGUUCGAGCGUCAUUUGUACCCUCAAGCUUUGCUUGGUGUUGGGCGUCUUGUCGUAUUACGACUCGCCUUAAAUACAUUGGCAGCCGGCACUUUGGCCUAGGAGCGCAGCACAUUUUGCGAUCGUAGCCCGUUGUACUGGCGUCCAUCAAGAACGUUUACCACGUUUGACCUCGGAUCAGGUAGGGAUACCCGCUGAACUUAAGCAUAUCAAUAAGCGGAGGA